GGCUCGUAACACGUGGGGGCUUGCCGAGAUUUUUUCCGGGAAUCGGGUAAGACAACUUUUUCAUCCACUCAUUGGGGAAUAGUGGUGGUAAAGCUGUAUUGAUUGUAUAGAUCGGGAUAUUGGCCUUUGAUACUGACGGGCACAAAACUGCCGGUGCAGCAGCAAGGGGAUUGUAAAUUGGGGGAGACGCACGCGGAAAUUUGUAAGGUUAAACUUUUGUUGUUUUCGUGGGGUUGCCGUGGAGGAGGGAAGUCACUUUUGGAAGUGAUUGCAGCUGGUUGCUCUCGCUGCAACAGAGACACACUGUGCAGGCUGGGGAAAAUUGGGUACAGGUGUAGUGGUAACUGGGUGGUGAUAGUAGGUGAGUACCUACUGAGCAAACGCAAAACCCUGCGCAGGUUAAGAGCGCUUACCGCUGUUUGUUGUUUUGGCCGUGCUUAUAAGAGUUUGUUGUUUUUCGUGGGUGUGUCGGACGCGCUGGAGUUGGUUAGCAGCUCAAUUGCAGGUGGACACACUGAAGAUUAUAGGUUGGGAAUAGCGAGGACUGUGUUUUGGAGAUAGAUGCGAGGAGGCUCUAGUCGGUUGGGUUUUUGUAAGUGGGUGGUGAUACACCUGUGCUUAAUUACCGGGUGUGCACGGUCGCGUCUGAGCCACCGGGUAAAGAACACGAUCAGGGAGAGGGCAUUGGUAGACCUGGGCCAGAUCGGUUGCAGGGGAGAAGUAGGGAUUGGAAAUGGAAGGGAUGGCAGAGUUUUUCGAGUCUCCGACAGAGGGGUAUUUGGAGGGACUUACGAAGAAUCAGUUGCGUGUGGUGGCAGAACAUUACAAAUUCAAUGAAACUUUGCCGAAAGAACUUAGAAAACAGGAGUUAAAAGAGGGAGUGAGGAAGGGAUUAGUAGAGAGGUCCAUAAUAGUGGCAAGCUCCGAUCCUCUAAAUCCCACAGCAUUGACUCCUACACGCUCAGAGUCAGCCCUGAUCAAAUGGCAGUCGGGAGAGCGUUGGGUUGGUCGUUGGAUUUGGAUAGAGAUUGGAUUUGGAUUGUCGUUGGUUGGAGUAUCGUUGGUUUUGGAUUAUCGUCGUCGUUUGUUUAUAUUACCAUUUACCUGACUUUACAGUACAUCUUUUGUUUCUCUUCACAACACUGAUCUUCACCACACGUUUGCUAUAAUUAUU
Clupea harengus (Atlantic herring) is the source of this 1174-nucleotide long non-coding RNA. NCBI's taxonomy places the organism in Eukaryota, Metazoa, Chordata, Actinopteri, Clupeiformes, Clupeidae. The record is from Ensembl.